Molecule: unclassified non-coding RNA, 432 nt
Filed under: soil metagenome
Description: partial contains 5.8S ribosomal RNA, internal transcribed spacer 2, and large subunit ribosomal RNA
Rfam family: 5.8S ribosomal RNA (bases 1-120)
Source: RNAcentral
GAUGAAGAACGUAGCGAAAUGCGAUACGUAAUGUGAAUUGCAGAAUUCAGUGAAUCAUCGAAUCUUUGAACGCAUAUUGCGCUCUCUGGUAUUCCGGAGAGCAUGCUUGUUUGAGUAUCAGUAAACACCUCAACUUCCAUAUCUUUUUUGAAAUGGGAGUUGGACUUGAGUGAUCCCAACGCUUUUCCUCACCGAAAAGUGGCGGGUUACUUGAAAUGCAGGUGCAGCUGGACUUUUCUCUUAGCUAUAAGCAUAUCUAUUUAGUCUGCCUAAAAACAGAUUAUUACCUUUGCUGCAGCUAACAUAAAGGAGAUUAGUUCUUGUGCUGACUGAUGCAGGAUUCACAAAGACAGGCUUCGGCCGACUUUGUAAACUCGAUCUCAAAUCAAGUAAGACUACCCGCUGAACUUAAGCAUAUCAAUAAGCGGAGGA